CAGUAGCCGCGGUAAUACGUAGGUGGCAAGCGUUGUCCGGAAUUAUUGGGCGUAAAGGGCUCGCAGGCGGUUUCUUAAGUCUGAUGUGAAAGCCCCCGGCUCAACCGGGGAGGGUCAUUGGAAACUGGGAAACUUGAGCGCAGAAGAGGAGAGUGGAAUUCCACGUGUAGCGGUGAAAUGCGUAGAGAUGUGGAGGAACACCAGUGGCGAAGGCGACUCUCUGGUCUGUAACUGACGCUGAGGAGCGAGAGCGUGGGGAGCGAACAGGAUUAGAUACCCGAGUAGUCCCUGUCUCUUAUAC
This 301-nucleotide ribosomal RNA is filed under the name uncultured bacterium. RNAcentral's name for it is "partial 16S ribosomal RNA". It matches the Rfam family "Bacterial small subunit ribosomal RNA", at positions 509 to 807 of the family's 1533-position model. The record is from RNAcentral.